This is an RNA transcript of Silurus meridionalis, 1555 nucleotides long. It is a transcript of the gene named ubiquitin carboxyl-terminal hydrolase 29-like, with no coding region annotated. The record is from RefSeq and is a predicted model, not a curated record. The transcript is spliced from 11 exons. Lineage: Eukaryota; Metazoa; Chordata; Actinopteri; Siluriformes; Siluridae.
UGGCUUCAGUUCCAUCUGAGAAAUCGGAGCAGUGUUUGACUACAGUUCCAUCUGAGGAAACUAAAAAAUGUUUGAAUCCAAUCCCAUAUGAGGAAUCAAAACAGAGUUUGACUCCAUUUCCAUUUAAGGAGAUGAAACCGAGUUUGACUUCAAUUCUAUCAGAGGAAACUAAAAAACUUUUGAAUUCAGUUCCAUCUGAGGAAUCUGAGGAAACCCAAAAGCAUCCAAUUUUCUCAUGGGUCACAAACCAGCAAAUGCUCCAGUGCGGGUUGCCUAAUUUUCAAAACAACUGCUACGUAAAUGCGAGUCUACAGUGUCUGUUUACAGCCGGGACUUUCUGUAGAGAUCUCGCCAGUCUGCUGGAAAAUUCUAGCCCCAACUUAGGGGACACAUUUCUAAGAUGUUUUUUGGAGUUGUCAAAGAUGAGAUGCAGCUCUGAAGUUCAACAUGACAUUGACACAAAUUCUCUCCUCAUGACCCUGAUUGCAUCAGCUGCAAAGGUCAACCAAGAAUUCGCCAUCGGCCAACAGAACGAUGCCCAUGAAUUCCUCUGUUACUGUCUUACCCAACUAGAGCAAUCCGUGAAAAAACUGGGUUGCCAGAAGUUUGUGGGACCUAAAUGCCCAGUGAAGUCCAAUUUCAAGUUCAAGAUGAGGAAUGUCAUAACAUGCUCUAGCUGUGGAUCCCGGCAGAACAAAGUGGAGAUGUUUAACCAUAUCUCUGUCCCCCUGACACAUGACAAUGUGGCUCAGUGCCUCAACCACAUAUUUAAUAAUGUGACAAUGUUGAACAGAAAGUGUACGGAAUGUGGAGGAAAAUCUGCCAGCUCCUUGUGGAGGAUCCUCAGGCUGCCCAGGUUUCUGUUUCUGCAACUAAACAGAUUUGAAGUGGAGAACCAUUACAAAAUCAUCAAGAUAACUACUCAAGUGUACAUCAAUCCUGAGCUGCAAAUAAAUUGUUUUCCUCAGCAAAACAUGCCCAGAAUAGAGAACAACAAUGCUAAGGCCAGCAUGACAGAAAAAAAUAAACAGAGGAGAAAUAGUCAGUGUAGCUCAUCCUAUCGGCUGAUCAGCUGCCUGAGCCAUUGUGGGGUAUCACCUUUAUCUGUUCCCAUUGCUGUGCAUAUCUCUUUCCCAGGACAUUAUGUGGCUGAUUGUUCCACUCAAAAUCCCCAUCAGUGGAUGACCUGUAAUGAUAGCUUCGUCUCACUGAGCGAAAAGAUGGACUUAUUAAAGAAGAGGUCGACUAAUGCCUACGUGCUCCUCUACGAGAGAGUGGACACAUGCUAAAGGUCCCACUCUUCUCUAGCAGGAUGUCAAUUGCAGCUUGGGGUGUGCCAAAUGAUGAGCCAAGCAGCAUCGAGAAUGACGAAGAUGGAAAGCAGGGGGUGAUGCAGAUAAGAAUAAAACACUCCAGAGCAUUUUGAAGAAAGGAAAGGAGAAAAUAUUCAUCGCUAUUACAGAAUGGAGAGAAAGAUGAAAAAAGCACUGCAGAGAGUCAAGUCAAGUCAAGUCAAGUCAAGUCAAGUCAAGUCAAGUCAAGUCAAGUUUAUUUC